This 360-nucleotide transfer RNA is filed under the name uncultured Microcystis sp. RNAcentral's name for it is "partial 16S-23S ribosomal RNA intergenic spacer". The stretch from base 134 to 207 matches the Rfam family "tRNA". The record is from RNAcentral. Lineage: Bacteria; Bacillati; Cyanobacteriota; Cyanophyceae; Chroococcales; Microcystaceae.
AAAGGGAGACCUAAUUCAGGUAGGAGACGAAAAAAAAGUAGUCCCUACCAAGAAUCAAUCCCAAAAGGUCGGAACGAGGUAUGAGGCUUUCAAACUAGGUUCUGGGUUCAUAAAAGACCUGAAUCAGGAACAAGGGCUAUUAGCUCAGGUGGUUAGAGCGCACCCCUGAUAAGGGUGAGGUCCCUGGUUCGAGUCCAGGAUGGCCCACCUGCACAGGUGGCAAAAACAAGAGAAGCAAGGAAUCAGCACCUUAUCUUAUAUACAUAUAUAAGAGAGAAUGCUGGCUCUGAGUACAGAGUCCAGAGGAACCUUGAAAACUGCAUAGAGCUAGGUGAAAAAGCCAAAAAAGAAGACCGCAAG